GCCUCGGUGGUGAAACUGGUAGACACAUCGGACUUAAAAUCCGCUGCAUCUGUGAAAAGAGCGUGCCGGUUCGAAUCCGGCUCGAGGCACCA
This 92-nucleotide transfer RNA is filed under the name Agitococcus sp. RNAcentral's name for it is "tRNA-Leu". It matches the Rfam family "tRNA". From Rfam's summary of the family: Transfer RNA (tRNA) molecules are approximately 80 nucleotides in length. Lineage: Bacteria; Pseudomonadati; Pseudomonadota; Gammaproteobacteria; Moraxellales; Moraxellaceae. The record is from RNAcentral.